Non-coding RNA from Brassica rapa (field mustard), 195 nucleotides. The record is from Rfam. NCBI's taxonomy places the organism in Eukaryota, Viridiplantae, Streptophyta, Magnoliopsida, Brassicales, Brassicaceae.
UUACCUUUCUCGGCCUUUUGGCUAAGAUCAAGUGUAGUAUCUGUUCUUAUCAGUUUAAUAUCUGAUAUGUGAGCCAUCGAUACACACGAUAUUAACUCUAUUUUUUAUGGGAGAAGGCCAUUAAGAUAGCCUGCUAUCUGAACCUUCAUGAGUCGACCAUGCAUUGCACUACUGCACGGGCCUGGCUCAACCCGC